ACUGUUUUGGCAGAAUUAUGCGUUAGAUUUAGGAUCUAUUAAUGUAAUAAUAUUACAAAUAGUA
This 64-nucleotide transfer RNA is filed under the name Ergatettix dorsifera. RNAcentral describes it as "tRNA-Leu". The record is from RNAcentral. Lineage: Eukaryota; Metazoa; Arthropoda; Insecta; Orthoptera; Tetrigidae.